CCUACGGGAGGCAGCAGUGAGGAAUAUUGGUCAAUGGGCGAGAGCCUGAACCAGCCAAGUCGCGUGAGGGAGUACUGCCCUAUGGGUUGUAAACCUCUUUUGUCGGGGAGCAAAAGCCGGACGUGUCCGGCUGUGAGAGUACCCGAAGAAAAAGCAUCGGCUAACUCCGUGCCAGCAGCCGCGGUAAUACGGAGGAUGCGAGCGUUAUCCGGAUUUAUUGGGUUUAAAGGGUGCGCAGGCGGAUUUUUAAGUCAGCGGUAAAAUCGUGGGGCUCAACCCCAUCCAGCCGUUGAAACUGGGGAUCUAGAGUGUGCGAGAGGUAUGCGGAAUGCGGGGUGUAGCGGUGAAAUGCAUAGAUAUCACGCAGAACCCCGAUUGCGAAGGCAGCAUACCGGUGCACAACUGACGCUCAGGCACGAAAGCGUGGGUAUCGAACAGGAGUAGAUACCCCUGUAGUC
RNAcentral lists this ribosomal RNA (458 nucleotides) under uncultured bacterium. Its description in RNAcentral is "partial 16S ribosomal RNA". It matches the Rfam family "Bacterial small subunit ribosomal RNA", at positions 338 to 795 of the family's 1533-position model. The record is from RNAcentral.